RNAcentral lists this ribosomal RNA (497 nucleotides) under uncultured bacterium. RNAcentral's name for it is "partial 16S ribosomal RNA". It matches the Rfam family "Bacterial small subunit ribosomal RNA", at positions 28 to 507 of the family's 1533-position model. The record is from RNAcentral.
GAUGAACGCUGGCGGCGUGCCUAAUACAUGCAAGUCGAGCGAACAGACGAGGAGCUUGCUCCUCUGACGUUAGCGGCGGACGGGUGAGUAACACGUGGAUAACCUACCUAUAAGACUGGGAUAACUUCGGGAAACCGGAGCUAAUACCGGAUAAUAUAUUGAACCGCAUGGUUCAAUAGUGAAAGACGGUUUUGCUGUCACUUAUGGAUGGAUCCGCGCCGCAUUAGCUAGUUGGUAAGGUAACGGCUUACCAAGGCAACGAUGCGUAGCCGACCUGAGAGGGUGAUCGGCCACACUGGAACUGAGACACGGUCCAGACUCCUACGGGAGGCAGCAGUAGGGAAUCUUCCGCAAUGGGCGAAAGCUUGACGGAGCAACGCCGCGUGAGUGAUGAAGGUCUUCGGAUCGUAAAACUCUGUUAUUAGGGAAGAACAAAUGUGUAAGUAACUAUGCACGUCUUGACGGUACCUAAUCAGAAAGCCACGGCUAACUACGUG